Long non-coding RNA from Lolium rigidum, 244 nucleotides. RefSeq lists it as uncharacterized. The transcript is spliced from 3 exons. The record is from RefSeq and is a predicted model, not a curated record. Lineage: Eukaryota; Viridiplantae; Streptophyta; Magnoliopsida; Poales; Poaceae.
GUCAUGGCACAACAUUGUUAUAGCUGGUUCUACACAGUGCUCAAGCAAUUUCAUAAUUGGCUUGCGCCGUCCAAGGUUUCAAGGAGCAAGGCCUACCGCACCACGGCGUCGAGCCAGCUGUCGGACGAGCGGGGAGAGCGUGAGGGAGAAGUCGGUGUCACCUCCCGCAACCGUCGCACUGGGUUCUUGUGUUGAUCAACAGCAAGGGCAGGAGUCCUUUAGGAUGCCAACAAAUUAUCUCUAG